AUGAACACUGGCGGCGUGCCUAAUACAUGCAAGUCGAGCGAACAGAUGAGGAGCUUGCUCCUCUGACGUUAGCGGCGGACGGGUGAGUAACACGUGGAUAACCUACCUAUAAGACUGGGAUAACUUCGGGAAACCGGAGCUAAUACCGGAUAAUAUAUUGAACCGCAUGGUUCAAUAGUGAAAGACGGUUUUGCUGUCACUUAUAGAUGGAUCCGCGCCGCAUUAGCUAGUUGGUAAGGUAACGGCUUACCAAGGCAACGAUGCGUAGCCGACCUGAGAGGGUGAUCGGCCACACUGGAACUGAGACACGGUCCAGACUCCUACGGGAGGCAGCAGUAGGGAAUCUUCCGCAAUGGGCGAAAGCCUGACGGAGCAACGCCGCGUGAGUGAUGAAGGUCUUCGGAUCGUAAAACUCUGUUAUUAGGGAAGAACAAAUGUGUAAGUAACUAUGCACGUCUUGACGGUACCUAAUCAGAAAGCCACGGCUAACUACGUG
Molecule: ribosomal RNA, 496 nt
Filed under: uncultured bacterium
Lineage: Bacteria
Description: partial 16S ribosomal RNA
Rfam family: Bacterial small subunit ribosomal RNA
Source: RNAcentral